Molecule: ribosomal RNA, 253 nt
Filed under: uncultured bacterium
Lineage: Bacteria
Description: partial 16S ribosomal RNA
Rfam family: Bacterial small subunit ribosomal RNA
Source: RNAcentral
UACGUAGGGGGCAAGCGUUGUCCGGAAUCAUUGGGCGUAAAGCGCGUGUAGGCGGCUCGGUAAGUCUGCUGUGAAAGUCCAGGGCUCAGCCCUGGGAUGCCGGUGGAUACUGUCGAGCUCGAGUACGGAAGAGGCGAGUGGAAUUCCUGGUGUAGCGGUGGAAUGCGCAGAUAUCAGGAGGAACACCAAUAGCGAAGGCAGCUCGCUGGGACGUUACUGACACUGAGGCGCGAAAGCGUGGGGAGCGAACAGG